RNAcentral lists this ribosomal RNA (1235 nucleotides) under metagenome. RNAcentral describes it as "bacterial LSU rRNA". It matches the Rfam family "Bacterial large subunit ribosomal RNA", at positions 1564 to 2808 of the family's 2925-position model. The record is from RNAcentral.
UGAAUACGAGACGCUAAGGCGUCGAAGUAGUGUAUGUCAUACUUCCAAGAAAAGCUUGCACUGUCAUAGAUAAAAAACGCCUGUACCAUAACCGACACAGGUGGGUAGGUAGAGUAUACUAAGGGGCGCGAGAUAACUCUCUCUAAGGAACUCGGCAAAAUAACUCCGUAACUUCGGGAGAAGGAGUGCCUUAUUCUUAAGGUUGCAAUAACAAGAUCCAAGCAACUGUUUAUCAAAAACACAGGUCUCCGCUAAGUCGUAAGACGAUGUAUGGGGGCUGACGCCUGCCCAGUGCCAGAAGGUUAAAGAAGCUGGUUAGCAUUUGCGAAGCUAGUAACUGAAGCCCUGGUGAACGGCGGCCGUAACGAUAACGGUCCUAAGGUAGCGAAAUUCCUUGUCGGGUAAGUUCCGACCCGCACGAAAGGCGUAAUGAUUUGGAUACUGUCUCGGAGAGGGGCUCGGUGAAAUAGACUUGUCUGUGAAGAUGCGGACUACCUGCACCAGGACAGAAAGACCCUAUGAAGCUUUACUGUAAUUUGAAAUUGAAAUUGGACUUUAUUCGCGCAGUAUAGGUGGGAGGCGUUGAUUAUAAUCUUGCGGGAUUAUUGGAGCCAUUAGUGAGAUACCACUCUUGUAAUGUUAGAUUUCUAACUUUGAAUCAUUAUCUGGUCAAAGAACAGUUUCAGGCGGGCAGUUUGACUGGGGCGGUCGCCUCCUAAACGGUAACGGAGGCGUACAAAGGUUUCCUCUGAACGGUUAGAAAUCGUAUCUAGAGUGUAAAGGCAUAAGGAAGCUUGACUGUGAGACCUACAAGUCGAGCAGGGACGAAAGUCGGUCUUAGUGAUCUGACGGUACUGAGUGGAAAGGCCGUCACUCAACGGAUAAAAGUUACUCUAAGGAUAACAGGCCGAUCUCCCCCAAGAGUUCACAUCGACGGGGAGGUUUGGCACCUCGAUGUCGGCUCAUCGCAUCCUGGGGCGGUAGUACGUCCCAAGGGUUGGGCUGUUCGCCCAUGAAAGCGGUACGCGAGCUGGGUUCAGAACGUCGUGAGACAGUUCGGUCCAUAUCCGGUGUAGGCGUUAGAAUAUUGAGAGGAGCCUUCUUUAGUACGAGAGGACCGAGAAGGACAUACCUCUGGUGUACCAGUUAUCGUGCCAACGGUAAACGCUGGGUAGCUAUGUAUGGAGUGGAUAACCGCUGAAAGCAUCUAAGUGGGAAGCCCACCUCAAGAUAAG